GCAGUGGUGGCCGAGUGGAAAUGACGUCCGGCUUUCAAUCCGGAGGUUGCGGGUUCAAAUCCUGGCUCGUACCAAUGAGUUUUUCGGAACUUAUGUACGAAAUAUCAUUUGAUAUUUACCACUAGCUUUUCGGUGAAGGAAAACAUCGUGAGGAAACCUGCAUACAUCUGCGAAGAAAUUCAAAGGUGUAUGUGAAGUCCCCAAUCCGGCCCAAUGCGGAUUGGGGACUUCACAUACACCUUUGAAUUUCUUCGCAGAUGUAUGCAGGUUUCCUCACGAUGUUUUCCUUCACCGAAAAGCUAGUGGUAAAUAUCAAAUGAUAUUUCGUACAUAAGUUCCGAAAAACUCAUUG
Long non-coding RNA from Cydia splendana, 352 nucleotides. RefSeq lists it as uncharacterized. The record is from RefSeq and is a predicted model, not a curated record. NCBI's taxonomy places the organism in Eukaryota, Metazoa, Arthropoda, Insecta, Lepidoptera, Tortricidae. The transcript is spliced from 2 exons.